This 497-nucleotide ribosomal RNA is filed under the name uncultured bacterium. RNAcentral's name for it is "partial 16S ribosomal RNA". It matches the Rfam family "Bacterial small subunit ribosomal RNA", at positions 28 to 507 of the family's 1533-position model. The record is from RNAcentral.
GAUGAACGCUGGCGGCGUGCCUAAUACAUGCAGGUCGAGCGAACGGACGAGAAGCUUGCUUCUCUGAUGUUAGCGGCGGACGGGUGAGUAACACGUGGAUAACCUACCUAUAAGACUGGGAUAACUUCGGGAAACCGGAGCUAAUACCGGAUGAUAUUUUGAACCGCAUGGUUCAAAAGUGAAAGACGGUCUUGCUGUCACUUAUAGAUGGAUCCGCGCUGCAUUAGCUAGUUGGUAAGGUAACGGCUUACCAAGGCAACGAUGCAUAGCCGACCUGAGAGGGUGAUCGGCCACACGGGAACUGAGACACGGUCCAGACUCCUACGGGAGGCAGCAGUAGGGAAUCUUCCGCAAUGGGCGAAAGCCUGACGGAGCAACGCCGCGUGAGUGAUGAAGGUCUUCGGAUCGUAAAACUCUGUUAUUAGGGAAGAACAUAUGUGUAAGUAACUGUGCACAUCUUGACGGUACCUAAUCAGAAAGCCACGGCUAACUACGUG